Molecule: ribosomal RNA, 595 nt
Filed under: uncultured bacterium
Lineage: Bacteria
Description: bacterial SSU rRNA
Rfam family: Bacterial small subunit ribosomal RNA
Source: RNAcentral
AGAGUUUGAUCCUGGCUCAGAGCGAACGCUGGCGGCAGGCCUAACACAUGCAAGUCGAACGGACCCUUCGGGGUUAGUGGCGGACGGGUGAGUAACACGUGGGAACGUGCCUUUAGGUUCGGAAUAGCUCCUGGAAACGGGUGGUAAUGCCGAAUGUGCCCUUCGGGGGAAAGAUUUAUCGCCUUUAGAAGCGGCCCGCGUCUGAUUAGCUAGUUGGUGAGGUAAUGGCUCACCAAGGCGACGAUCAGUAGCUGGUCUGAGAGGAUGAUCAGCCACAUUGGGACUGAGACACGGCCCAAACUCCUACGGGAGGCAGCAGUGGGGAAUCUUGCGCAAUGGGCGAAAGCCUGACGCAGCCAUGCCGCGUGAAUGAUGAAGGUCUUAGGAUUGUAAAAUUCUUUCACCGGGGACGAUAAUGACGGUACCCGGAGAAGAAGCCCCGGCUAACUUCGUGCAAGCAGCCGCGGUAAUACGAAGGGGGCUAGCGUUGCUCGGAAUUACUGGGCGUAAAGGGCGCGUAGCGGAUCGUUAAGUCAGAGGUGAAAUCCCAAGGCUCAACCUUGGAACUGGCUUUGAUACUUGGGCGAUCCUUGAC